CAUGGCUCAGAACGAACGCUGGCGGCAUGCCUAACACAUGCAAGUCGAACGAAGGCUUCGGCCUUAGUGGCGCACGGGUGAGUAACACGUGGGAACCUGCCUUUCGGUUCGGAAUAACGUCUGGAAACGGACGCUAACACCGGAUACGUCCUUCGGGAGAAAGUUUACGCCGAGAGAGGGGCCCGCGUCGGAUUAGGUAGUUGGUGUGGUAACGGCGCACCAAGCCGACGAUCCGUAGCUGGUCUGAGAGGAUGAUCAGCCACACUGGGACUGAGACACGGCCCAGACUCCUACGGGAGGCAGCAGUGGGGAAUAUUGGACAAUGGGCGCAAGCCUGAUCCAGCAAUGGCCGCGUGAGUGAUGAAGGCCUUAGGGUUGUAAAGCUCUUUCGCACGCGACGAUGAUGACGGUAGCGUGAGAAGAAGCCCCGGCUAACUUCGUGCCAGCAGCCGCGGUAAUACGAAGGGGGCUAGCGUUGUUCGGAAUUACUGGGCGUAAAGGGCGCGUAGGCGGCCUGUUUAGUCAGAAGUGAAAGCCCCGGGCUCAACCUGGGAAUAGCUUUUGAUACUGGCAGGCUUGAGUUCCGGAGAGGAUGGUGGAAUUCCCAGUGUAGAGGUGAAA
This 621-nucleotide ribosomal RNA is filed under the name uncultured Azospirillum sp. RNAcentral describes it as "bacterial SSU rRNA". It matches the Rfam family "Bacterial small subunit ribosomal RNA", at positions 18 to 686 of the family's 1533-position model. Lineage: Bacteria; Pseudomonadati; Pseudomonadota; Alphaproteobacteria; Rhodospirillales; Azospirillaceae. The record is from RNAcentral.